Long non-coding RNA from Gastrolobium bilobum, 561 nucleotides. RefSeq lists it as uncharacterized. The record is from RefSeq and is a predicted model, not a curated record. NCBI's taxonomy places the organism in Eukaryota, Viridiplantae, Streptophyta, Magnoliopsida, Fabales, Fabaceae. The transcript has 4 exons.
UUCUUCUUUGUAAAAUCAAAAUGGGAAGGAAAAUCUCCCUGCCCACCGGAGAACAACACCGUACGAUGGUUCGUAACCAUGAACAAACCUAAACUAAGCAAACCCUAAUUUGUGAUCUGUCCCUAAUUCUUUGUUUUCUUCUCAUCGGAUCGUAUCCCAGAGUACCUUCUUGCUGUAUUCCCUUAUAAAUUCCCCUGAUUAACCUUCAAGGCUUCGUGCUACAGAGACAAAUUAUUAUGUUCUUGCCAUUUUAGUCCAGUUAUUUAAUUGUCGCUUCCUUCGCUCGUUUUCGAGAUUCCCCGUAGAUCAUCAGAAUGAUUUAGUGUAGAUUUUUUGGAAGAUACCUAUAUGACAGCAUGGGUAGCAGUGACAUGGAUAAAACCAUAAGAGAGAAGGAGUCUAAUACGACACCUCCAGCUACGUCACAGGAGCUGUCUUCAACCCCUGGCACUGGAACAAUUAAUCCUGACUGGUCCAACUUUCAGGCAUAUUCUCCUAUACCUCCACAUGGAUUCAUGGCAUCAAGUCCCCAAGCCCACCCAUAUAUGUGGGGUGUCCAGG